Molecule: ribosomal RNA, 480 nt
Filed under: uncultured bacterium
Lineage: Bacteria
Description: partial 16S ribosomal RNA
Rfam family: Bacterial small subunit ribosomal RNA
Source: RNAcentral
GACGAACGCUGGCGGCGUGCUUAACACAUGCAAGUCGAGCGGAAAGGCCCUUUCGGGGGUACUCGAGCGUCGAACGGGUGAGUAACACGUGAGUAAUCUGCCCCUGGCUUUGGGAUAACCACCGGAAACGGUGAUUAAUACCGGAUACGACCACUUUUCGCAUGGGCUGGUGGUGGAAAGUUUUUCGGCCAGGGACGUUCUCGCGGCCUUUCAGCUUAUUGGUGAGGUAAUGGCUCACCAUGGCUUCGACGGGUAGCCGGCCAGAGUGGGUGAUCGGUCGAACUGAGACUGAGACACGGCCCAGACUCCUACGGGAGGCAGCAGUGGGGAAUAUUGGACAAUGGGCGGAAGCCUGAUCCAGCAACGCCGCGUGAGGGAUGACGGCCUUCGGGUUGUAAACCUCUUUCAGCAGGGACGAAGCGCAAGUGACGGUACCUGCAGAAGAAGCACCGGCCAACUACGUGCCAGCCGCCGCAGUAA